Molecule: long non-coding RNA, 1346 nt
Filed under: Lonchura striata (white-rumped munia)
Lineage: Eukaryota; Metazoa; Chordata; Aves; Passeriformes; Estrildidae
Description: domestica (Bengalese finch) lncRNA (ENSLSDG00000012912.1)
Source: RNAcentral
CCCGGGGCACACCCCGACCCCCCUCGCCCCUCUCCUGGGGACCCCCAGCCUCAGCUCGGGGGGCCCCGGUGACUCCUCCCCGCUGUCCCCAGCCCCCCCCACGCGUGACAGGGCCCCGCGGACGCCGCCGUGGGGUGACCUUGGGCCGUGCCUCAGUUUCCCCCCACGGGGCUGGGAUGGUGCUGCGGGGGGGGGCGAGGCUCAGCCCCUCAGUGCGGGGGGGGCACAGCCCGAUGCCGACCCCCGCUGGGUCCCGGGGUGGCGGCGGUGACCCCAGGCGAUGUCCCCGAAGUGCCCCGUGCCCCCCGGGGCCGGGCCGGAGCCCCCCGGCUGUGCCAGGCCCGCGGCCCGGGCGGUGGCGGCUGCCGAGAGCCGCGGCCGGGCCGCUCCCCCCGCUCCAUCCUCAUCCUCCGCUGCGUCCUUCAUCCCCCGCUCCAUCCUCAUCCUCCGCUCCGUCCUUCAUCCCCCGCUCCAUCCUCAUCCUCCGCUCCGUCCUUCAUCCCCCUGCUCCAUCCUCAUCCUCCGGCUGCGUUCUUCAUACCCCGCUCCAUCCUCAUCCUCCGCUCCGUCCUUCAUCCCCCGCUCCAUCCUCAUCCUCCGGCUCCAUCAUUGACCUUCUGUCCUUCAUCCCCCACCUCGAUCCGCCUUCCCCCUGCUCCAUCCUCAUCCUCCCUUCCUGCAGCCCUCCCUGCUCCGUCCUUCAUCCCCCGCUCCAUCCUCAUCCUCCCUGCUCCGUCCUUCAUCCCCCGCUCCAUCCUCAUCCUCCCUGCUCCGUCCUUCAUCCCACCCGCUCCAUCCUCCUGUUCCAUCCUCAUCCUCCUGCUCCCUCCUUUCCGCUCCGUCCUUCAUCCUUCCGGCUCCGUCCUUCAUCCCCCCCGCUCCAUCCUCAUCCCAUCCUCGGGCUGCAUCCCGCACCCCCCUCCCCGCGCUUCCAUUCUUCCCGCGCCCUCCUCAUCCUCCCGGCUCCUUCCUCAUCCUCCCGGCUCCUUCCUCAUCUUCCCGGCUCCUUCCUCAUCUUCCCGGCUCCCUCCUCAUCCUCCGGCUGCGUCCUUCAUCCUCCCGCUCCCUCCUCAUCCUCCCGGCUCCUUCCUCAUCUUCUCGACUCCUUCCUCAUCUUCUCGGCUCCUUCCUCAUCUUCCCAACUCCCUCCUCAUCCUCCGGCUGCGUCCUUCAUCCUCCCGGCUCCCUCCUCAUCCUCCAGGCUCCCUCCUCAUUCUCCCGCUCCCUCCUCAUCCUCCCGCUCCCCGGCCUCACCUGGCUCCGCUCCCUCCGGCAUCCCGUUCUGCGGCUCCGAGCCGCCCCCCCGGCGGCUUUCAGGGGCUCCGGGCCCGGCGCUGCCCGCGGCC